This 1883-nucleotide long non-coding RNA is filed under the name Xyrichtys novacula (pearly razorfish). Lineage: Eukaryota; Metazoa; Chordata; Actinopteri; Labriformes; Labridae. The record is from RNAcentral.
GUUAUAAAACAUUUAAGAAUGUGGAUUUUAGGGUUAUUUUGGCGCCCCCUAGAACCUAAACCAUGGGGUGCAGCAUCAUGAUUUGAAUAACUUUUAAUGGCCAUGGGGUGUAGAUUGGCCUGAGCAAAUAUGGUGCCGGUGGAACGAAAGCCUUCGGAGGAGUUAGCGAAAUUCCAAUGUGUGCGUAUCGGCAAAAAAUGCGGAAUAACCCUUUAACUAUACAUUUGACAGAUACGCGCGCAUGGACUUUUUUGUAGAUCUUAUUGAGUUACAUGUGUGUGUCAAUUUUUGUGUCAUUUUGACAAAGCGUAUAGGCGUGACACUCAACAAUGUGUAUUUUCACCUUAGGGGACAAGAAAAAAUGGACUUUUUUCUCCUGCCAUGGGGGGCGCUCUUUUGGGGAGUAAAAAUUCCUUCACAAAUGUGUUGAUGGCUGGACAUUGCAUCAUCCUAGAAAACUUGGAGGCCAGUGAGGACAAAAAUAAAAAGUUAUAAGACUUUUAAAUAUGUGGAUUUUAGUGUUAUCUUUGGCGCCCCCUAGAACCUAAACCUUGGGGUGCAGCGUCAUGAUUUUGAUAACUUUUAAUGGCCACGGGGUGUAGAUUGGCCUGAGCAAAUGUGGUGCCGGUGGAACGAAAGCCUUCGGAGGAGUUAGCGAAAUUCCAAUGUGUGCGGAUCGGAAAAAAAUGCGAAAUAACCCUUUAACCGUACAUUUGACAGAUACGGCCGCACUGACUUUUUUGUAGAUCUUAUUGAGAUACAUAUGUGUGUCAAUUUUUGUGUCAAUAUGACAAAGCGUACAGGCGUGACAGUCAAUAGUGUGAAUUUCUACCUUAGGGGGCGCUAUGGAGCCAUUUUGCAUUUUAUUGUUUGGGCGACUUCAGAAUAUCAAAUUUUUCACCAGGCCCGGUCGUCCUGCCAAAUUUCAUGAGUUUUCGCCAGUGGGAAGUGGGCCAUUUUCCAGUUCAAAGGGGAGGAAAAAGAAAAAAGAAAGAAAGAAACAAAGAAAAACCACUUGGGGAAUAAUAGGGCCUACGCCCGGCUGCUCUGCAGCUGGCUCGGGCCCUAAUAAUAACAAAAGAAGAAUCCAUCAGGAACAAGAGGGCUCUCGCAGCUGCUUAGCAGCUACGCUCGGGCCCUAAGAAAGAAACAAAGAAAAACCACUUGGGGAAUAAUAGGGCUCUCGCAGCUGCUUAGCAGCUACGCUCGGGCCCUAACAAAAGAAGGAAACAUGCAGGAACAAGAGGGCUCUCGCAGCUGCUUAGCAGCUACGCUCGGGCCCUAAAAACCACUUGGGGAAUAAUAGGGCUCUCGCAGCUGCUUAGCAGCUACGCUCGGGCCCUAAUAACAAAAGAAGGAAACAUGCAGGAACAAGAGGGCUCUCGCAGCUGCUUAGCAGCUACGCUCGGGCCCUAAAGAAAGAAAGAAAGAAAGAAAGAAAGAAAGAAGAAAGAAAAACCUAUACAGGAAUAAUAGGGCUCUACGCCCGGCUGCUCUGCAGCUGGCUCGGGCCCUAAAGAAAGAAACAAAGAAAAACCACUUGAGGAACAACAGGGCCUACGCCCGGCUGCUCUGCAGCUGGCUCGGGCCCUAAGAAAGAAAGAAAGAAAGAAACAAAGAAAAACCACUUGAGGAACAACAGGGCCUACGCCCGGCUGCUCUGCAGCUGGCUCGGGCCCUAAAAAGAAACAAAGAAAAACCACUACAGGAAUAAUAGGGCCUCGCAGCUGCUUAGCAGCUACGCUCGGGCCCUAAUAAGUGUGCCCCCCUAAAAAAAAGUAAUGCCCACCCUCUCAUUUGCUUCUGCAGCUGGGUGUGUUCUCACAUACCUUUUCUUAGCCAGCCUGACGUUUCAGCAGUGAAGGGGGUGACCUUCCUCCUCU